CAGGCCCCAUCUAAUUCCCACAAGGAAAGCUGCGGCAAUUCUCCCUUUCUUUUCUCUAGUUAACUCAGCUAAUCUAUGAGUAAGCUUCUACCAUUUAGCUCCUGUUGUUGUUCCACAUUCCCAUCAAUCAAUCAAUAGGUGACUCUACCUAUCUGUUGAGAUGUAUGAAACAUUUCACAAUUCCAUAUUAAGGCAUAAAUACAGAGGUUCACGACUUGUCAGAGUGAGCCCGGACACAGGUGGAGUGGUUGCACAAGUGAUACUUACCUUUGUCUUCUCUAUGGAUGAUAAGAUGGUGCUUCGGUCAACAAUCAACAGAGUUUUGCAGCAGAGACUGAAGACAUAUCCUGGUUCUGCACGUAUCGACCUCUCCUCUUCCUCUCUCACAGGCAAGUGCCUUGAGUCUUUAUCACUGACUGGGGUUUGACUCCUGGGGCUUGACCUUUUUUGCCUUGGAGAACUAUUCCCAUUCAGCCCUGCAAGCUUUGUUGGAAG
Molecule: long non-coding RNA, 495 nt
Filed under: Pogona vitticeps (central bearded dragon)
Lineage: Eukaryota; Metazoa; Chordata; Lepidosauria; Squamata; Agamidae
Description: lncRNA (ENSPVIG00000019732.1)
Source: RNAcentral